AUGGCUCAGGAUGAACGCUAGCGGCAGGCUAACACAUGCAAGUCGAGGGGUAACAGGGCGUAGCAAUACGCCGCUGACGACCGGCGCACGGGUGCGUAACGCGUAUACAACCUACCUGUAACAGGGGGAUAACGGAGUGAAAACUCCACUAAUACCCCAUAUUGACGAGUCUUCGCAUGGGGGUUCGUCGAAAGCUUCGGUGGUUACGGAUGGGUAUGCGUGACAUUAGGUAGUUGGCGGGGCAACGGCCCACCAAGCCGACGAUGUCUAGGGGAGCUGAGAGGCUAGUCCCCCACACUGGUACUGAGACACGGACCAGACUCCUACGGGAGGCAGCAGUGAGGAAUAUUGGUCAAUGGACGGAGGUCUGAACCAGCCAUGCCGCGUGAGGGAAGAAGGUCCUAUGGGUUGUAAACCUCUUUUGCUCCGGAGCAAUAAGGCGGAUGCGUCCGCCGACGAGAGUACGGGGCGAAUAAGCAUCGGCUAACUCCGUGCCAGCCGCGGC
Molecule: ribosomal RNA, 505 nt
Filed under: uncultured bacterium
Lineage: Bacteria
Description: bacterial SSU rRNA
Rfam family: Bacterial small subunit ribosomal RNA
Source: RNAcentral